This 203-nucleotide long non-coding RNA is filed under the name Vigna radiata. Its description in RNAcentral is "long non-coding RNA (VRAD_LNC001580)". The record is from RNAcentral. Lineage: Eukaryota; Viridiplantae; Streptophyta; Magnoliopsida; Fabales; Fabaceae.
GAAAUCCUUAGUUUAGUUGGUAAACUAAAAAAAAAACAUUUUAUUUUUUUCUCGGAUUCUUAGUUUUAUUUUAUUUGAAGAAUUGUUUUUUCCUACACAAAGUUUUAUUCUCCAUCCUAUUAGUUGGACUAUUUGAUAAACACCGAGAUCACUAAAGUCCUUGUAGUUAUUCUAUUUUAAGAGUUUCCUUUUUUUUUUUUUAC